Molecule: RNA transcript, 1350 nt
Organism: Lathyrus oleraceus (garden pea)
Lineage: Eukaryota; Viridiplantae; Streptophyta; Magnoliopsida; Fabales; Fabaceae
Gene name: hypersensitive-induced response protein 1
Exons: 7
Source: RefSeq, a predicted model, not a curated record
CUUAAAAAAAAUGUAAGAAAAGAAAAGGAAGACGCAAAUCACAGGUAAAGCGUAGAAGUGCAGCGAGUUUCAAUGUUGUUGCUCUCAUUCUGAAUCCAGACAAACCGAAAAUCUCCCUUUUUUGCCACACAUUUUAUUCUUCUCUCUCUAUCUUAAAGGGUUCCUAAACAUGGGACUAGCUCUGGGUUGUCUUCAAGUCGAACAGUCAACAGUAGCGAUCCGAGAAGUUUUUGGGAGAUAUGAGGAUGUGCUUGAACCUGGUUGCCACUGUGUGCCAUGGUUCAUGGGUAGACAAAUAGCCGGUUACCUUUCUUUGCGUGUGCAGCAACUAGAUGUUCACUGUGAAACCAAGACAAAGGACAAUGUUUUUGUGACUGUGGUUGCGUCUGUCCAAUAUCGAGCACUGGCAGAAAAGGCGGUGGAUGCUUUUUACAAACUUACAAAUACCAGAGAACAGAUCCAAGCCUAUGUUUUUGAUGUUAUCCGUGCAACCGUUCCGAAAAUGGAACUAGACUCUUCUUUUGAACAGAAAAAUGAUAUUGCAAAAGCCGUUGAGGAAGAGCUUGAAAAGGCGAUGUCUGCUUACGGGUAUGAGAUAGUUCAGACUCUCAUUGUGGAUAUUGAACCAGAUGAGCAUGUGAAAAAAGCCAUGAAUGAGAUAAAUGCCGCUGCAAGACUUAGAGUGGCCGCAAAUGAGAAAGCUGAAGCAGAGAAGAUUCUAUACAUCAAAAGGGCAGAGGGAGAUGCAGAAUCAAAGUAUCUAGCAGGGCUUGGAAUAGCUCGUCAGCGUCAAGCCAUAGUGGACGGAUUGAGGGACAGUGUUGUUGCAUUUGCAGAGAAUGUCCCCGGGACAUCAUCAAAGGAUGUCAUGGACAUGGUUCUUGUGACCCAAUACUUUGACACGUUGAAGGAGAUUGGCGCAUCGUCAAAAUCCAAUUCGAUUUUUGUUCCACACGGACCAGGUGCUGUGAAAGAUAUUGCUUCACAAGUCAGAGAGGGUCUUCUCCAAGGGAAUGUCGCCGGGCAUUGAAGUUUGAAACAUCACAUCAUCAAAACUUUGAGAAUUUAUACUCUAAACUCCAUUUUGUCAAUCACUUAUUUAGCAGCAGAGUCAAGCUUGCAUCUUUUGUGACAAGUCUCACCUGAACUUGAUAAUUAAGAUAUUGUUUCAUAUAAUGGUGUGGGAUUAUCUUGGAAGGUUGACAAGGGUUCAGAUUUUACGAUACCCCGCUGUAGAUUCUUCCAAUGUUCUAGGAUUAUUCCAAUUUUAUCUCUUAAUAGAAAUGCAGUUUUAUAUAAUGCUGGACUCAUUUUAUGCAAUUCAGUUUUCUUAUUUUGCCACCUAAGCUC